UCAAUCAAAACUACAGGGGGUGACCUAGCUCUUCUCCAAAACCCUAAUUCAUCAUAUUCUACUCAAAAUCAAAGAGAGAAACUAAAUUUCAAUCGAUUCCAAGCUAGAAUUGUGAUCCUACAAGUGAAUAGAUCACAAGGUAAAUUGGGUGGUUCGUCAAGUAGUCUAGGCGGCACAGAUAAUCGGUUAAAAGGAAGGCUUUAAAGGUAACUCAUGGAAUGGGUCGGAUGAAGAUCAAGCUAGUACGAGGACCGAACACACAAAUAACAAAGCUUUCGCAACUAAAUUAAGACCUUUGUUACUAAACUCGUUGGGGUAGUUUUGUCCAACUUAUGUAAAUAUUGUCUAAAUGUUUUGCAAGCUAAGGAAGUUUAGUUAUGACAAUAUGGUUUGAAACUUAGUAAACGCAUUUUGAAGGUUGUGAACUUUAUAUAAAGGUCAU
Long non-coding RNA from Helianthus annuus (common sunflower), 442 nucleotides. RefSeq lists it as uncharacterized. The record is from RefSeq and is a predicted model, not a curated record. NCBI's taxonomy places the organism in Eukaryota, Viridiplantae, Streptophyta, Magnoliopsida, Asterales, Asteraceae. The transcript is spliced from 3 exons.